This 2089-nucleotide long non-coding RNA is filed under the name Eucalyptus grandis. RNAcentral describes it as "long non-coding RNA (EGRA_LNC005588)". The record is from RNAcentral. Lineage: Eukaryota; Viridiplantae; Streptophyta; Magnoliopsida; Myrtales; Myrtaceae.
UUUAUUAACAGCACAACUCCUGGUAUAUUUACAAUACUAUUCACAGCAUACUUGUCUCACACCUAUCUACACUAAGACAGGAUUUACAAAAGGGAUGGGAUCUCAAUCCACAUCCGGGUUGUACUCAAGAUCCCUCUCUGGAUCAUCUUCUGCUUCAAAAAUCUUUCUCCUUCUCAGGUUUUACAUCAACGCUCUCCUUCUUAAGUUCCUCCUCCUUGGCUUCUCCUCAGGGUCCUGAAAUGGUUAUUCAAUAACCAAUGAGACCACGUCUCAGCGAGUUCUAUCCCCUAAGACUCGAUUAGUAACACUACUCGACUGCUUAAACACAGCACGAGUCAGAGGACUUACCUUGGCAUCAGAUUCCAUCUGCAUAUUAAUACAGUUCAAUAGGUACGCAAACAAUCACAUCACCGAUCGAAGCAUCGGUCAAAUUGACCUAGUCGAUUACAUUUCCGUCGGACCAUUUCUAGGUCAUUCAUCCCACACAAAGCAACUUUCUUAAAUUUUAAUAGCUUUACGGUCCCACCCAACCCUUUCCAGAUCUAGUGGCUUUAUGGUCCCACCCGACCCUUUCAAGAUCUAGUGACUUUGCGGUCCUACCCGACCUUUUUAAGAUCUAAUUUAGGAAUGAAUCUUAAAAUUACUCAUAAAUUACUUUAGCACUAAAUAAAGUUCAAAUAAAUAAACAGACAGCACCACGACGAUCAGCACAAAAUUCCGGUCACCGGCUAUCUCGGUUGAAUUUCCGGAAAAAUAAAUAAUUAAAUAAUGAAUUUCGAAAAUUAAAUAAAUAAUUAAAAAAAUCCAAUUUAUGCCCGUAAUGCCGAAUUGGAUGCCACGACGAGCCCGAAAAAUUACCGAGACUUGUUCCAUAAAUAACAUGGUAUGCUUACUUGUUAAUGUCUAUUUCUAACCACCUAACAUGCAUCAUUAAAUCUCUAAUUUAAUUGAUUUAAACUAAUCUAACCACCUAAUUACAUUUAAUUAAAUCUAACCAACCCUAAAUAUAAUUAGCAAACUAAGAAAGUAUUAGUGAGUAAAACUCACUUGGUAAAAGCGGAGACUGAAUCACCGCAACGGUGUCGCGGGCUUUCGACAACACCGGCGGGCUUGGACCGGGCCUUAAGCUUAGGCCCAACAAAUCUCAGCCCAACUGAGAUUUGUUCUUACUUUUGGGCCAGACCCAAGUUGGAUUGGGCCUGCUGCGAAGAUGGGCUUCAAGCUAUGGGCUGGGCUGCAAUUGAUUUGCUGGAAUUGGGCUUGACCAAUUAAUUUACUUGGACUGGACUGGGCUGACUUGCGGCCCAAAUGGGCUGAACAAACUGCAACUGGAAGCGGGCUGUUCGGUGGGCUACAGCUUUGGACCGUUGGGCUCGUGAAUUUGCGGGCCCAACCGUGGGCUUCUGAACUGACGGCUUCAAUUAGGCCUGACUUGCACCGAAUUCCGCUGGGCUGAUGAUGCGUGUCGAUCCACGAGCAAAGAUGGGAGACAACGCGAACGCUGGUCAACGAAGGCUUCGUUCGGUGGGGAUUUGACCAAGAUGGGGGCGUGCUGGCGUGGACGAUGGAGGGAACAGCAGCGUCGAAGAAGCUGUGCCGUUGAUCUUCAAGCGUUGCUGGUCUUCAAGCUUCGCUGGCGGACGUGUGGAGUGGAGCUGAGGGAAACGAUGGCAAGCUGGCAGCUGGGGGUUUUGUUGGAUGCUGUUCGGUCAACAAAUCAAAGGGGCAAAUUGCUGGAGUUGACCGGUGUGUUGGCAGCGUGAGGAAGCUCAGUGGAUUCCGCGGACGAAGACGUGGGUUUCUUCCUCGGCUGAAUCGGUGGCAGUGCACUGGCAGUCAACGAUCGAGAUUAAUCCUGCUGAAGAUUUCGCUGGAUUGAAAAUCCCGUAGACUGGUUUCUCGAUGGAUUUGCUGGUCGAAGAUGGGGAAGUGGAAACCGGCACAUGGACUGGAGGCUCGGUGGAUUGUGGCUUCGCAUGGGGCAGCUUCGGUAAGUCUUCAACGCUGCUGGACUAGACACGAAGCAGUGGAGCUGCACGCGGUCAACAAUCUUGCUGAGAUUGACCAAAAUCUCGGUGGAUUGGUCUUC